Molecule: non-coding RNA, 119 nt
Organism: Pteropus alecto (black flying fox)
Lineage: Eukaryota; Metazoa; Chordata; Mammalia; Chiroptera; Pteropodidae
Source: Rfam
GUCUACAGUCAUGCCAUCCUGAACAAAUCUGAUCCCAUCUGAUCUUGGAAGCUAAGCAGGGUCGGGCCUGGUUAGUACUUGGAUGGGACACCACCCAGGAAGACCAGGUGCUGUAGGUG